AACGUAGGACACAAGCGUUAUCCGGAGUUACUGGGCGUAAAGGGCGCGUAGGCGGCCUUCUAAGUCAGACGUGAAAUCCCCAGGCUUAACUUGGGAACUGCGUCUGAUACUGGGAGGCUUGAGUGCGGGAGAGGGAUGUGGAAUUCCAGGUGUAGCGGUGAAAUGCGUAGAUAUCUGGAGGAACACCGGUGGCGAAGGCGGCAUCCUGGACCGACACUGACGCUGAGGCGCGAAAGCUAGGGGAGCAAACGGG
Molecule: ribosomal RNA, 253 nt
Filed under: uncultured bacterium
Lineage: Bacteria
Description: partial 16S ribosomal RNA
Rfam family: Bacterial small subunit ribosomal RNA
Source: RNAcentral